This 253-nucleotide ribosomal RNA is filed under the name uncultured bacterium. RNAcentral describes it as "partial 16S ribosomal RNA". It matches the Rfam family "Bacterial small subunit ribosomal RNA", at positions 524 to 776 of the family's 1533-position model. The record is from RNAcentral.
UACGUAGGGCGCAAGCGUUAUCCGGAAUUAUUGGGCGUAAAGAGCUCGUAGGCGGUUUGUCGCGUCUGCCGUGAAAACCCGGGGCUCAACCCCGGGCCUGCAUUCGAUACGGGCAGACUAGAGUUCGGUAGGGGAGUCUGGAAUUCCUGGUGUAGCGGUGAAAUGCGCAGAUAUCAGGAGGAACACCGGUGGCGAAGGCGGGUCUCUGGGCCGUAACUGACGCUGAGGAGCGAAAGCAUGGGGAGCGAACAGG